GUCUAUGGCCAUGCUACCCUGAAUGUGCCCAACAUUGUCUGAUCUCGGAAGCUAAGAUAAGAAGGGUCAGGCCUGGUUAGUACUUGGAUGGGAGACCACCUAGGAAUACCAGGUGCUGUAGGUG
RNAcentral lists this ribosomal RNA (124 nucleotides) under Pteropus alecto (black flying fox). Lineage: Eukaryota; Metazoa; Chordata; Mammalia; Chiroptera; Pteropodidae. RNAcentral also lists the same sequence under 1 other name. The record is from RNAcentral.